GUGAAAUUGUUGAAAGGGAAACACUUGGAACUAGUCCAGGCCCGCAGUGAGUCAGCCGGCUGUCGCGUUCGCGUGGCAGGCCCGGAUCAAGCAAUUGACCGAGGCCUGUUGUCCGAGCGUGGCCGCCUGUGCAUCUUACUGUGGGCAAGUCAACAUCAGUCUGGUGGGGUGGAGAAAGGCGAUCGGAAGUUCCGCAAGCAGUCCUAGAUUGCAGGUGGAAGCCGGUCGUCGAUGCGCUCCGGCAGACUGAGGAGUGCACUGGCCGUUUGUCUGCAUGCGAUUGUUGCGUCCGUCGGGCGGAAACAGUCUGACUGCUCCCGCCGUGCGGGCGCUUCAAGCGCAGCCGGCUUAGCGGCGACAGUAUGGAUGUUGACGUAAUGGUUUCAAAUGACCCGUCUUGAAACACGGACCAAGGAGUCUAACAUGGAUGCGAGUAUUUGGGUGGAAUAAACCCAUAUGCGCAAUGAAAGUGAACGUGUGGGAUUUCCGUGGAAACACGGAAUGCACCAUUGACCGAUCUUGUCUAGCCUCGGCUUGAUAGAUUUGAGUAAGAGCAUGCAUGCUGGGACCCGAAGGAUGGUGAACUAUGCCUGAAUAGGGUGAAGUCAGACGAAAGUCUGAUGGAGGCUCGUAGCGAUUCUGACGUGCAAAUCGAUCGUCAAAUUUGGGUAUAGGGGCGAAAGACUAAUCGAACCAUCUAGUAGCUGGUUC
This 711-nucleotide ribosomal RNA is filed under the name uncultured fungus. Its description in RNAcentral is "LSU rRNA". It matches the Rfam family "Eukaryotic large subunit ribosomal RNA", at positions 399 to 957 of the family's 3401-position model. Lineage: Eukaryota; Fungi. The record is from RNAcentral.